GCCUGGCUGGCUCAGUUGGUAGAGCAUGUGACUCUUGAUCUAGGGAUCAUGAGUUCAAGCCCCAUGUUGGGUG
Molecule: non-coding RNA, 73 nt
Organism: Mustela putorius furo (domestic ferret)
Lineage: Eukaryota; Metazoa; Chordata; Mammalia; Carnivora; Mustelidae
Source: Rfam